CGGACGGGUGAGUAACGCGUGAGAAUCUGCCCUUAGGAGGGGGACAACAGUUGGAAACGACUGCUAAUACCCCAUAUGCCGAGAGGUGAAACAUUAAUGGCCUGAAGAGGAGCUCGCGUCUGAUUAGCUAGUUGGUGGGGUAACGGCCUACCAAGGCGACGAUCAGUAGCUGGUCUGAGAGGAUGAUCAGCCACACUGGGACUGAGACACGGCCCAGACUCCUACGGGAGGCAGCAGUGGGGAAUUUUCCGCAAUGGGCGAAAGCCUGACGGAGCAAGACCGCGUGAGGGAUGAAGGUCUUUGGAUUGUAAACCUCUUUUCUCAGGGAAGAAGAACUGACGGUACCUGAGGAAUCAGCAUCGGCUAACUCCGUGCCAGCAGCCGCGGUAAUACGGAGGAUGCAAGCGUUAUCCGGAAUUAUUGGGCGUAAAGCGUCCGUAGGUGGCUAAGCAAGUCUGCUGUUAAAGAGCGGAGCUAAACUCCGUAAAGGCGGUGGAAACUGCAUAGCUAGAGUGUGGUAGGGGUAGAGGGAAUUCCCAGUGUAGCGGUGAAAUGCGUAGAUAUUGGGAAGAACACCGGUGGCGAAGGCGCUCUACUGGGCCACAACUGACACUGAUGGACGAAAGCUAGGGGAGCGAAAGGGAUUAGAUACCCCUGUAGUC
This 662-nucleotide ribosomal RNA is filed under the name uncultured cyanobacterium. RNAcentral's name for it is "bacterial SSU rRNA". It matches the Rfam family "Bacterial small subunit ribosomal RNA", at positions 99 to 795 of the family's 1533-position model. Lineage: Bacteria; Bacillati; Cyanobacteriota. The record is from RNAcentral.